This 235-nucleotide ribosomal RNA is filed under the name uncultured bacterium. RNAcentral's name for it is "partial 16S ribosomal RNA". It matches the Rfam family "Bacterial small subunit ribosomal RNA", at positions 28 to 261 of the family's 1533-position model. The record is from RNAcentral.
GAUGAACGCUAGCGGCAGGCUUAAUACAUGCAAGUCGAACGGUAAGUGUAGUAGCAAUAUUAUACGAGAGUGACGUACGGGUGCGUAACACGUAUGCAACCUACCCUGUACAGGAGGAUAGCUCGGGGAAACUCGAAUUAACCCUCCAUAAUAUCAUUAGAUGGCAUCAUUUGAUGAUUAAAACUUUGGUGGUACAAGAUGGGCAUGCGUCUGAUUAGUUAGNGGUGCGGGUAAC